UUUUUUUUUUUUUUGAGACAGAGUCUCGCUCUGUCGCCUAGGCUGGAGUGCAGUGGCGCAAUCUCAGCUCACUGCAAGCUCCGCCUCCCGGGUUCACGCCAUUCUCCUGCCUCAGCCUCCCGAGUAGCUGGGACUACAGGCGCCCGCCACCACACCCAGCUAAUUUUUCUUAUUUUUAGUAGAGACGGGGUUUCACCAUGUUGCCCAGGCUCAUCUCGAACUCAUGACCUCAGGUGAUUCACCUGCCUCAGCCUCCCAAAGUACUGGGAUUAUAGGCGUGAGCCACCACACCAGGCCCAGAGCCUGUAAUUUUCACCCUUACUCUACUGUGCCCAAGAAGUGGAAGACAUACUCCCUACUCCAAGGAGUUUAAGAUUGAAAGAUAAACACGUGCAGUCUGGCUGGGUGUGGUGCCGCAUGCCUAUUGCCAUCCCAGCUAUUUAGGAGGCUGAGACAGGAGAAUUGCUUGAACCUCAGAGGCGGAGGUUGCAGUGGGACAAGAUUGCACCACUGCACUCCAGCCUGGGCAACAGAGCAAGAGUCCAUCUAAAACAAAAAAAACAGAAAAACAAAAAACAAACAAACAAAAAAACAGAUAAAAAACAAAAACAUAUGCAGCCUAAGAUGAAAGAAGACUAGUCCCAUAGGGUACACAUGCACACUUACUAAGAGGAGGCAUAACCUCUACCUGAGUGAAACUUGUCUGAGGCUUUCCUGAAUCUGCAGUGGGGCUGUGUCCCUGAGCCCCUGCACUGCUGCCUCAGAAGGGGCACUAGACCCAAAGACCCAAAGGCAAAAGGCUUGGGUUCAAACUGGUAAGAAGGGACCUGGGUGACUGGAAGAAUAGGGUUGAGAGAAGGAAUUUUAUCUGUACCUUUUGAAUUUUGAAACAUGUGAAUGAACUAUCUUAAAAAAUAAAUUUGGCCGGGCAAGGUGGCUCAUGCCUGUAAUCCCAGCAGUUUGGGAGGCGGAUCAUGAGGUCAAGAGUUCGAGACCAGCCUGGCCAACAUGAUGAAACCCCGUCUCUACUAAAAAUACAAAAUUAGCAGGGUGUGGUGGUGCAUGCUUAUAAUCCCAGCAACUUGGGAAGCUGAGGCAGGAGAAUCGCUUGAACCUGGGAAGGCAGAGGUUGCAGUGAGCCGAGAUGGUGCCACUGCACUCCAGCCUGGGCAACAAGAGCAAAACUCUGUCUCUAAAAUAAAUAAAUAAAUAGGCCAGGCGUGGAGGGAGGUUGCAGUGAGCUGAUAUUGUGCCACUGUACUCCAGCCAGGGUGACAGAGCGAGACUCCAUCUCAAAAAAAAUAAUAAUAAUAACAAUAAUAAAUUUGUAACAAAAGCAAAUAUGCACUCUGCUAUGGUCUGAAUGUGCCCCCUAAAGUUUAUGGGUUGGAAACUUAAUCCCUGCUGUAAUAGUGUUGAGAAGUGGGAACUUUAAGAGGCAAUUGGGUCACGAGGGCUCUGCCCUCAUUUAUGCCAUUAUCAUGGCAGUGGGUCAGGUUAUCUCAGGAUUAAAAAAAAAAAAAAGGUGAGCUUGGCUCCCUUCCUCUCUCUUGGGCUUGCAAGCUCUCUGGCCCUGCCACCUUCUACCAGGGAAGGAUGUGGCAUGAAGGCCCUCACCAGAUGCCAGUGCAAUGUUCUUGGACUUGCCAGUCUCCAGAACCAUGAGCCAAAUACACUUCUAUUGUUUAUAAAUCACCCAGUCUCAGUUAUUCUGUUAUAGCAACACAAAACAGACCAAGACAUACCCCCAGAAGGCCAGUGGUUAAGAUAAACAUGUUAAAACAAAAGUGAAUUUAUGACUUCAUCUCACCCAGACCCUAGCUGGUCCUCCUCUGAAGUGGGAAUAAUAUCUGCCCUGUCUAGCACAAAGUGCUGUUAGAAAGAUCAAUAGGAUCAUGUGGGUGAAUGUGCUUUGAAAGCUGUGAAGUAUUAAACAAAUAUGAGAUGAGAGGGAAAUCUAUCCCACAGAGGAUUAUACUCCCACGUGUGGGCCUAGAGGCAUUUCAAAUACUGUGUUGUGACUCAGGGCCCGUCCCAGCCCCAGUUUUGAAGUAGGCACCAUUUAUGGUCCUAACAACUUCCAUGGUGUUUGAAAUGCCUCCUGUACCCAUUGGGCAGCCUCUCUCCUCGCUCCUGCUGGCUCUCGCCUUCGAGCCGCCUGCAGGAAGGGAAACACUCACACAAGCCCACCUGCAUUGGGUCUCCAGGGUCAUUGUUACUCAAGCGUAGUCCUCUCUCCUGGGGCCCCCACCCACCUCUCUAGCCUGGUCCCCAGCUCCUCCUCCCACCCCUGAAGAGCGAACCCUGUGCCCUGUGCCAGGCUCUGUGAUGCUCAGACGUGCAGGGCCACACCAGAUUACUCACUGUUCCCUGAACACACCCCACCCUUCCCAGCUGCUCCUGCUCUGCUCCAGGACUACAGGCCUUUCUUUCUUCACCAUGCUCCCCCCAGGGAGAGCCUCCCCUCCUUUCUAGACCCUGUCCCCAAAUGCACUCCACCAAGGCCCUGUUUGAAAGAAGGUCGCCUGCUCCCUGGCCUGUGCUGGCCUUGGGCGUUGUUGAGUCCUCCUGAGACGGCUCCUUCUGCUGCCCACUUUAGCACACGGACCCCAUCUUCCACAGGCCUGAGUCUCCAUGGAGCCUAGCUCAGCACCUUGCCCACAUGAGGUACACAAUGAAUGAUGAUCGCAUUGAAUUUUUAUGAGACAGCUUUUUCAAAAAAGGCAAAAGUAAGGCUCUUUAAGGGUGGGGCUUCAGGCACAGUGGCUUCUGGGUGGGGGAGAGGAGUUUGGGGAGUGAAUCUUUGCUCUUAAACACCCCCACUGCAGGGAGAGCCCUUUUUCCCCUAGAUCCUGCCUUUUCUCAGCAGUCCUGAGGGAGCCUCAGGGAAUGAAUGACUGGGGCUGGAAGCUGCAGCUGGUCUUCAGGCCAAAAGCUGUAAAAGCCCAGACCCCUGAGGCCUUCUGUCUGGGGCAGGCCGCAUGCAGGCUCCUGACUGCAGCCAAGAGCAGUGAUCUCGCCCUUAAAAAUCAACAGUCUCUAAUCCACGUCGGGGUGGGGUUUCUUUUGCGUGUUAUUCCAGCAAUAAUACGUAACUGGUCCAGAAACCGCCUCUGAGCCCUGGGCACAGUCUCACUGAGAGUUCCAGCCCUUGCCCCGAGCUGCAAACUGGGGCCUAAAGCUGCAGCACCGAGAGGCCACGUGGGGCGAGGCCUCCCCGGAAGGCCUGCGGCGCCGCCGUUGUCCACCAGGGGGCGCCAGGAAACGGCGCGGCGAGGCCCCAGCUCAACCCGCCCGCGCGGGCACACCCGGGCUUUGACCCCUUUGUGAUCGAGGACACGGACGGGUUUCUCUCCAACAAAAGGGGGCCAUAAAUUACAAACGGAAGCAGAGUGUGUAGGGAAGAACAGGAAAGCACGUGCGUUGAAACCGGAACUCGGGCCUGCUUGCUUGCUUAUUUAUUUUAGUUAUUACUGUUUUCUUGGGGCAGGCCCUUGCUCUGUCGCCCAGGCUGCGGGGUGGUGGCCCCGUCAUAGCUCACUGCAGCCUCAACCUCGGGGCUCAAGCGACCCUCCUGCUUCAGUCUCCCAAAGUGCCGGGGCUGCAGGCGCGAGCCGCCACCCCGGCCUCCGUGCUCUUUCUCAGGGAGCAUUUUCCACCUCCCCUGCAAGAGGCCGUUUUGCCAGUGGCUUUCAGAAAAGACUGUUGUCAUCUCGGGGUUCAGAGUUAAUCGUGGAUUUACCUACCACACAGAAAUUUCCAAAGAAUCGAUCUGCUCCCUCUCAAUAUCCACCCUAAACAAGAGCACUUUCCCAAUCAGCGCCUUGUCCUGGGGCUUCCAGACCCAUCUGGCCUUUUGCUCUUUGCUCUAUGCCCACUUGAGCUGUGAGGUUCUCAGAGACAUUCCCCAAAGCCCUCCCAGCCGAUCUCUGCUGACUUCAAUCCUACUCAUCCCUCAGGGGCUAACAAAAUUGUUAAAAUUUAAACAGUAAUAAUUAAAUAAUGAUAUUGCUGUAUGUCAGGCAUGACUCCACAAAGCAGGUAUUAAUACAGAUGGUCCCCAGCUUUCGCACCAUCGUAAGUGAUACACUUUACAAACUGUCCUUCGAGUAGCCAUACAACCACUCUCUUUUUCACUUUCAGUACAUUAUUCAAUAAAUUACACAAGAUAUUCAAUAGUCUCUUAUAAAGUAGGCUUUGUGUUAGAUGAUGUUGCCCAGCAGUAGGCUGGUGUAAGUGGGCUGAGCACGCUGAAGUUAAGCUAGGCUAAACUAUGAAGUUCAGUAGGCUAAGUGUAUUAAAUGCAUUUUGACUUACAAUAUUUUCAACUUACUAUGGGUUUAUCAGAAUGUAGCUCUAUCAUAAGUUGAGAAGCAACACUAGUCUCAUAUAUAUAUAUACAUAUAUAUAUAUAAAUAUUUUGGCACGAUCUUGGCUCACUGCAACCUCCACCUCCUGGAUUCAAGCAAUUCUCCUGCCUCAGCCUCCCAAGUAACUGGGAUGUAGUCCCAUUCUACAAGUGAAGAAGUUGAGGCUCAAAGAGGUCAAAUGCCCAAAGUCACCAGAUACUGAGGGAUGGCCCCAGUGUCUAAAUCCUAAGCCUGCGUUUUUCUCCUAUAUGCCAGUGGUUCUCCAUGUGUGCUCCUUGAAGUAGCAGCAGCAACAUCACCUGAAAACUCACUAGAAAUGAAAAAUUUUUAAAUUUUUGUAGAGAUGGGGUCUCACCAUGUCGGCCAGGCUAAGUCUCAAACUCCUGAGUUCAAGCGAUUCUCCCACCUCAGCCUCCCAAACUGUUGGGAUUACAGGCGUGAGCCACUGCACCAGGCCCCGAGAUCACCCUUUUAUUUUUAUUUUUUUUUAAGACAGGAUCUCCCUCUGUCACCCUAAGGGAGGAGACCAUCCCUCACAUUGUCUUAUGCCCAAUUUCUGCCUCCAAAUAAAGAAGAAGUAAAAACUAAAAGGCAGAAAUGAAAUCCACGAGCAGACAGCCCGGCCCCAUACCCUGGGCCUGGUAGUUAAAGAUCGACCCCUGACGUAAUCAGUUAUUUGUAUAAGAAAAGCACUGUGAAGAUCCCUGUCCUGUUCUGUUCCGUUCUAAUUACCGGUGCAUGCAGCCCCCGGUCACGUACCCCCUGAUUACUCAAUCAAUCAUGACCCUCUCACGCGGACCCCCUUAAAAGUUGUGAGCCCUUAAAAGGGACAGGAAUUGCUCACUCGGGGAGCUCGGUUGUUGGAGAUGUGAAUCUUGCCAAAGCUCCUGGCCGAAUAAAGCCCUUCUUUCUUU
This 5284-nucleotide long non-coding RNA is filed under the name Homo sapiens (human). RNAcentral describes it as "non-protein coding lnc-B4GALNT3-4:2". Lineage: Eukaryota; Metazoa; Chordata; Mammalia; Primates; Hominidae. The record is from RNAcentral.